ACAGACAGCCAAACUCCCCACGUUGCAAUAAACCGACAUCAACCCGAGCUUCUGAUCUCCAAAAAUUUCAGACAAAACCCCAAAUCUCCACUUCAAAAAUCCAGUAAUUAGCAAAAGAAUAGAAACCAUCAAUCAAUCAGGCUACUCAUACAGCGCACUCCCAAACGACGUAGCUCUCAAAAUCGCUUCACUUGAGGUACCGGAUCUUUCCUCCUUGAGCUGCUGCUCUCGGGUUUGGCGAGAGAUACGCGGGUCGGAUUGUUUAUGGGAAUCACUCGUCAGAGAAAGAUGGAGUCUUUUGUAUGGAACUGUGAAAGACCCAAACUUCAAGGAUUGGCGGGGACUCUACAUAAAGCAGCAUGAAGAGAAGAAGGCUCAGGUGUCAUCCGUUGUUAACGUGUGUAACAUUGCUCACAAUCCGAGUCGCAUGAGAUUCUUGACUAUUUGCAAGCGAUUGAUGCCUGAAAACGAUGCAGUUUGGAUUCAAAGAUGUUCAAAUGCUGCUCUUGAGACCAAAGCUGAAUGUUCUGCUUACCUUGAUAGGACUACAUUACUGCCUUAACAUCCUUAAAGUGCCGGCUUUCGUAUCUUGGAAGCACUUCGGAACAGUAAGAUAGCUGAAUGUCAGUUUGUGUCCAAUGUGGAAGCCCGGGAGAUGGUUCUACGGCUUCCGCAUCCGAAACGAUUCUCAUUCCCGUUGUGUCUCUCUUGAAGAUCUUGCAAUGGCAAAAGACGAGAGGUGCUGGCAGUCCCUCGAACCAGAAACUCUCACGAGCUUUUGACAGCAGUUCAGAUAUCCGUUGUUAAUUAUUCCACAAGCAAUCUCCAGUCUAGCCAAAACUCAACAUGACUGUGAUUUUGGGCAGCGGGACAACUUUCAGGUGAUGUACAUAUAGUGUUCAUUUCAUAACAUUUUAUAUCUUACGGGACUCGAGUUCGAGUACAUCCGAUACAGAUAUGCCGUUGACGAAGGUUUCUUUAGUAUUUGCAAGUUUUCUGUUAUUUUUGAGGAUCUUUAGAGGGUCGUCUCUCGAUUCUUAGGAUACGAAUACUUAAAUAAAAUUUUCUAGAAUCUAUGAUAUGCAAGCAAAGCUGAAAAUUACCACA
Hibiscus syriacus is the source of this 1107-nucleotide long non-coding RNA. RefSeq lists it as uncharacterized. The record is from RefSeq and is a predicted model, not a curated record. NCBI's taxonomy places the organism in Eukaryota, Viridiplantae, Streptophyta, Magnoliopsida, Malvales, Malvaceae. The transcript has 4 exons.